Molecule: non-coding RNA, 8365 nt
Organism: Equus caballus (horse)
Lineage: Eukaryota; Metazoa; Chordata; Mammalia; Perissodactyla; Equidae
Source: RefSeq, a predicted model, not a curated record
CAACGCGGGGCCUUCCCACCCCCACCACCUGGCUUCCCAACGUUAAAGCUGCAACUGGACAUCUCAGGGUUGGGAAACAGCAGAAGGUCGCUGGUGGGGUGGGGACUUUCUUCUCCCCGGGCUGGCUGUCUCCCAGCUGGAGGGCCAGCCAUCCCUGCCCCAGGACUGCCUGCCGCGUGCGGUUUCUGGCCUUGGCUGUGACCAGGGCGGUGGUGUCUGGUGUCUCGGGGGGCCCCGCACGGCUGGAGCAAACUGAGGACACGGUGGACGGGCGUCGGGCAUUCCUGGUACCUGGGACGCCGGGAUUUGCCUCAGCAGAAGACGGAAACCACGUGCCCCCAGUUGGGAGUGCAUUGGGGUGAAAUGGUCACGGGCAGCGAGCCUCGGCAGUGACACAGCCCACAUCCAUUUUGCUUGUCCUGGUUUCAUCUGGGAGCAGGGAAGCCACACAACUCUUCAGCUUCAGGAAGGGAAUCUUGGUCAGGCAACAUCACUCUUCAGUCAGGAGGUCUUGCCUGCUGGUGGCCCUCGGCCCAUCACUCCACUUCUCUCAGCCUUCAUUCCUCACUGUGAACACCCCGUGGGAACUGUGGCGACAUGAAAACCCUUUGGAAGGAUUAUAAGCAAGGCCAAAGUUACAUCGUGGCCUCGGAUCUCUUUUGGAAGUAGACGAUGUGUAAAUUAUUAAUAAAGGAGAUGCAAAAUGCUAUAUUAGACUUUCCAUGCCCAGAACCAUCUAGGUAGCGUGGUGAGUCUCCUGGGUCCUGAACCUGCCCCUUCGGAGCUCUGCUUCAUGAGAGUUGCCAGAGCUUUUACUUUCCCAGGAAAGAUCCUGCCUUCAGACUCCCUGGACUGGAUGGGGACAGAGCAUUUACCUUGCCAAGCCAUGAGGAGGAGGAGCUGUCCUUCUAUGGGGUUGCUAAGCCAGCAGGAUGUACAUUUCUAGCUUCCCUCAUAAUGGGAGGCUCGCCUGUGUUAAUGCCAAGAUGGAGACAUGAAGAGGGAGACCCUGGAUCGUGCUGUGCCUGAAGCCAUCUACUCAAACAUCUCAGUUAUCCCACCAGCACUCCUCUCCCCUUUUUUCUUACAGAAGCUGGUUUUCAGCUGAAAGCAUCUUGACCUCUCCACGUACUGUUAUGGAGUAAGAAACAUGUGGACCUGCUCAUUUGUCCACUCACAGGCUACCACUGUGCCAGGCCCUGGGAUGAUGCUUGGGGCACAGGAUGACCUGCAUCCUCAAUUAGGGCCUCAGUCAACUGAGGGGGCAGACGUGAGGCAAAUCCACGCUGCCUUGUGCUGAGUAUCGGUGCGGAGAGCAACUGACUGAAGGAGGGCUUCCCAGAGGAGGGGACAUGUGCCUUGAACUCGAGGGAAGGAUGGGGCUUUGCUAGAGAGAGAAGAGGCCAUGUGGGCACAGGCCAAGCAGCUGACAGAACACGGAGUGUGUGAAGAAACCACAAGCGAGGAGCUGGCAGCCGGCGUUCCCUGUGCCGGAGAGGGUGGGAAUGGUGGGAAGACAGCUGUGGCCCCCACCCCGGCUCCUGCAGGGGCCCCAGGGCCAGCCCUCUGACUCCGUCCCCGCCUGGAGUGUUGGCAAGAAGAGACCGAAGGGAAACGGGGUGACACGCAUGGCUGAGAGCAGUGGGGAGGGAGGGGAUAAAACCAUUCCCUUUCCAGCUCUGAAGCGCAAAGAAGUGUCUUUCCUCCUGCACAGCUGGACUUCCUGUAGCUGGAAAGAAGUAGAUUAAUGCCAUGUUUUCUGAUGCCCCCCCUGGGCCGAGCAGGGCCCGAGAGGCCGGCGCGCUCACAGUUGGCCUGGCCGCCCUUGAUAGCUCAGUGACUGUCCCGCUGGCCCGGCCCUGGGCCCCCGGCUCCAAAGCCAGGCUGGAGAAACUUGGCUCCAUGGCAGCUUUCAAAAUAAAGUGGUUUUUAUUUCAUAUUCACCAGAGAGGUUACAAAAUAUAAUUGGGGUUGCUGCUUCUCAUAUUAUUUAUGCAAUUCUCCCCUGUGUCCCUGCCCAAAAGCAACUCACAAAAGGGUCUUUGUUCUCCGCAAGUUCAAAGUCAGCUGCUCCAACGGGAAACGGAUUGGCGAUUACAAGGAGGAGGCUGAGUUUUACUGGCUGUCAGACCAGGAAUAUGGGAUGCGUCGGGGUUCCAGCAGGAGCCCAUGAGUGUGCGGUUUGCCGGCUGCAGAGGCCUGUGUGAACGGGUUCCCAGUGCGAGAUGAGGGCCAGCAGCAGGAGGGGGCGGUGGGGGAAAGCCCGCUUUCGCCCCUGUGGGCUGGGCCGCCUCGCCACGCACCCUGCCUCCACGGCCCCGAGUUCCCCACCCACAGAACAGGGUGCCAGCACACUAGGCUGCAUCAGAAGGUUUGUUCCAUUCCUCGGAGCUCUGGGGCUCUGCUGAGGGUCUCCGAACUGGGUGGGCAGGGCUCCAGGCAUCCACGCCCACUCCUGCCCUUCAGAUGUUUUGACUGAUUGAACGAACAUCCAGGUCAGAUUUUAUUUAAAGAAAAUGUAUUUUCAGUGGACAUUUGCAGAGGGCUGACCUGGAGUCAGGGAGGCCUGGGAAGUGCUGGGCCCUGGAGACUGUGGGGUCGGAGGCUCAAAGUCCCGGGUCCUGUGUAGCCUUGAGCAGAGCGGCUAGCCUUUCUGGGCCUCAUCUGUCCUUCUGGGAAGUGGAGUCACAGCUGCCCGACAGGAGCUGAGUGCAGGGCUGGGGGACUGUGGUGCUUGGAGGUGCAGAGGUUUCAGACUUCCCCUGCCCUGGGGCACCUGCUGCUUGGUCGAGCCAGCCUUCCACGGGUUGGAGAGCUUGCCUGUAGCACCUGGCAUCCCUUGUCUAGCACACGCCCAUCACCAAGGUGUGCCCUCACUGAGAGCAGGAGUGGCAGGGGCUCAGUACUGUCGGCCCCAAGCUGUGACUCUGGCGCUAACCCACAGGGGGCGAUCCAGCUCAGAGCAUCCUGCCGUGGGGGGCUUGCUCCCAGCAUCCUGGAGGAAACACUGAGCAGGUGGCACCUCCAGAACCUCCGUUAAGGGCGCCUCACCUCACCAUGGUGGUCCCAGGGUGGGGGAACCCAUGAGGACCUCAGUUGCCAGCCUUAUUGGGGCCCCAGGACACAGCAGACCCAUAGGGGCCCUCCGGGAGGAUGUCCUGGCUUCCCUGGACAUAAAGCUGUCCCAGGACCUACGCCUCAUUGAGGGGCCUCAAGGCCGAGGCCCUGGGCCUGGCCUCUCCUCCCCGCCACAGUGGAGCCCCUGCAGGCCUGACCAUCAGACCCCGGGGCCCACCAUCUCCCAGUUUUCAUUCUAGCAACAAGACAGCCCAGGAGUUUGGGGGUGGGGCAGGGAUGUGUCCCAGUUGGCUGUCCUCGCCAUGGGGCUCUUCUCCAUCCCUCGGGGCGGGAGGGGGCUGUUGGAGUGAGAGGGAAGGAGUCCUGCCCUCCCCUUUGCAAGGAGCCAGAGCUUCACUUGGGAGGCCUGCGAUGUUUAUGCAGUUCCAGGGCCACACUGGGCCAGGGCAGGGAACUGAGGACGGGAGUGGGAGGGGCUUUAGGAAAACCAGACCUACCACCUUCCCUCUGGCCCUCCCAAGAGAUGCAGCUCUCCCUAGUGAGAUGCUCUGGGAGUAGGGAGAGGGACAUGGAGGGGAGGAGAGCUGGCUUCAUGUGUGAGCUUCAUGAAAGCCAGACGGAGAUGGAGAGUCUUGGAGGUCCUCUCCGCCAGGAUUCCAGAUCUUUCCAGAGUGAUCUCAGGGCUUUGCAAAGCAGAAACCAGGCCCAGAUGGAAGCCCACAGGGAGACCUCACCCAGGGCUGUCGGCUCUUCAGAAAUGUCCCUUCCUGUGGCUGCAAGACUGUGGGUGAAUCCUGGGGUCCGGGCUUGGCUGCUGUGAGCCGCUGCCUCCCGGCUGAUAAACAUCGGCCCAGGGAGCUGAGACACCGAGGCCCUGGAGAAGACCAGUGCAGGUGAGAGGUGCUCUGCUAAAACCACAGCUUGGGGGUGGCGUCUCCACUCACACCCCGUACGGGAAAGCAGCUAUUUCUACAAUAACGGCUUCCACAUCGAUGGAAGGACCACCAGCAGGGCUGCAGGUAAUCUCUGCGAUCACGGGUCCUGUCCUCCCAGACACUAGGCACUGUGGGAGGGGGAGGCUCGGCCAGGCCCACCUGGGGUGCCCUGGUCCACCACGGAGGACGGACCGUGAUUCUCCCCAUUUUACACUCAGGGAAACCAAGGUUCACAAAGCCAGGAGGGGUAAGGUUGGGGCUGCGGGUCAUGCCGGAGUCUGCUGGCUCCAAUCCGGGUGCUCUUUACUGUGUGAUAACGGAGCAGGGAAGGACGCCCAUGUUCACACUGCAUGGUAGGGAGCAUGCUCUACACCAUGUCUGGACAGUGGGUAUCAUUUUACGGAUAAGAAACUGAGGAUCAGAGAGGUUAAGUAACUUGUGCCGAGUGAGCUAAGAUUGAAACUCCGGCCUACCUGACCCCGAAGGUCUCACCCACCCUGCCCCGCAGGGCUCUGCUGCCUUUGCGCGCUGCCUCCCUAGAGCUCGCCUUGGCCGUCCGUAAAGCUUCCCUGGGGAGCUAGGAAAAGGGCCCUUGUCUGGACUCCAGCCCCAGAGCUUCUAACCCGGCUGGCUGGGGUGCAGCCUGGGGGUCAGGGGUUGUCAGAGCUCCCCAGGGCCUUCCACGGGGUGGGGCUCACAGCUUGAAAGGGAGUGCCAUCCGCUGGGAAGGCCCAGGUGGGUCCCGGGCAUCCUGUCUCCCAUCCAGCACCCCCUACCCAGGAGAGCGGAGGGGGUGGGGGGCUGGGCUUGGCCCCGGCCCUGCACGCCAUGAAGGAGCUGGGUCUGGCUUGACUAAGUCUUGGCCUCUUUAAACAACCCCCCUUGAUUUGAGGCGCCUUCUCAGAGUGAAAUCCCCUUUUUUGGUAAACACACGGGGCUUACUUCACCUCCUCUGGCCUCCUGACCACCCGGGCAGACGUCAAAUGGCCUAGCUCAUUUAUUGUCAGUCUCCUCACCGAGACAGAUCCCCAUGGCAGAAGGACCUUGGCUCUUGCGUCCAUCAUGGUGUCCCUUGUCUAGCGCAGUGGCCUGGCCCACGGAAGGUAUGUGAUCCAAGCGUGUGGAACAAAUGAAUGAACAACGGGAGGGGGUCCCACCCAUCAGGGUGUGGAUGUCCUGUCUGGCUUGAGGCUGAAAAGUCAAGACCCCCGGUGACUAAGCCAGUCCUCGAGAGCCCUUGGCCCAGCGGGCUGAACAGGAAACCACUGGAAGGCAAGCCCUCCCUCAGGAGAGCGGGGUCUCUGCCUCCACCCCAGGGGCCCUCUCCUGGUCACCCUGGAACCAGCCCAGCCGAAGGGCCAGGCCCUCUGAGAGCCUGGGGCCCUGCCUGGGAUGCGAAGGAGCUGGCAGACCCCGGACAAGCUCCAAGUCAGCUUGGGCUGGGCCCCAGGGGUCUGGGGAGCCUUGCCUACCCCUGUACCCUAAAACUACCCCAGGCUGGUUCCCAGAAGGGCCGGGUAUGGGGUCCACUCCAUUCAGAGUGGGUAGUCUGACCCCCAAAUGAGCUGCGGGCCAGCAAUGGGUGACCACGGCUCUCUUGACCAUGGCCUCAGUCAGGUGGGCUCACCAGGGCCUAAAUUCACUCCCCGUCCCCCUCACUCUCCCCAGCAGGUGCAGGGCUGGUUGGUGAAGAGGCUCACCCUCUCCUCCGUCCUCAGCCCCAACGCUCCCCAAACCUGUGCAUUAGAGCUGUGCUGGAGUUCUUCACGUCUCUACCAGGCCAGGUGGUCACUGCUAAACUCGCCUUGGAGAGAGGAAGCCUGGAUUAUCUGUCAGGUCCAGGGGGACGAUGCUCCAUUGGGCCCCCAGCUUCAUGGGGCUGCUACCUUGGUCUGGAGACCCUCCGUGUGUGAGGAGUUUGCACCCUUCAGAGUUUCAGCUGGAAAGUGGAUCUAUCGUCUUGGUGCUUCAGAGGAAACUUCUACAAUAUUCAGAUGGACGGGGCUCUCAGCCCCUCGACCACAAGGCUGUUCCAGCCUGAGCAGGUCAGUUCUGGGCAGUCUGGGAGCGGGAGGAGGGGUCCGCAGAACUCUUCCUGUCCCCGCUUUCUGCCUUCGCUUCUCAGGGGUACCCUGCCCUGGAAUGAAUGAGCUCCGCAAAUACUCAUCUCUGGGCAGCUGCCAAGUCUGGCCCCACUCCAGAGGACCGAGUGCUUGCAUCUGUCCCACUUCCCUUGGCAUGAAGGCCCCUGGCUGUCAGGGUGGGGCAGAGCUCCAGAGCCAGCCUUGGUGCUGGGACCCGGCCGAGCGAGGAGCUGCGGUGCCCAGGCCACAUGGCGUUCCCUGGUGAGGAGACGAUGUGAUGGCCACCAACACCCUUGGAACCCGUGUCGGCCCCAGUGCGAGUCAAGUGGACCCCUGCUGUCCUCCCGAGAAGUGUGACCAUUUAGUCUGAGGGGAGGGACAGUGGCAUCCUGAACCCCCACAGUGGCUGAGAAGGCUUCCAGCUGCCCAGCUGCCCUCUCUGCCCAGGAGGAGACGCUAUGCCAAGGCCCAGCUGUGGGAGAGUCUGCGUUUCCCGUGCCAUCCACUUGGAAAGGGCCUUCGUGCAGUCAGGGACUGGUGUGAUGGGGAGAAGGAGCCCAGUUUUCUUCUUGGGCGUUCCAGCCAAAUCAGGCUUGUUGAAGCCCUUCCCUGACUGCCAAGAGGGAGACCACUGCCUCCAGCCGGGAGUGCAGGAUGCCCAUUCUCACGUGGAUUCUCGUCCAUUGGAAUCUGGAGACAGGCCUGGACUUGGAGCCUUCUGCUCGUUGUCUGACCACAGGCAAGCCACUCCACCUCUCUGAGCUUUGGUCUUCUCGUUUGCACAAUAGGCAACUGGAAGUGAAAGUAUGGUGAGUAGUUUCUAGACACCGGGCACUGCGUCAGGGGCUCUCGCACUUGUGUUCGUCAUAAGCUCCGUGGCUGCCACAUAGGUGGUGACUAUGCCGGGGACCACUGUCUGGCCCCAGAGGUGACUUAUUCUCUUUAUUCUGCUGCGAAACCCUCAGCCCCUCAACUGCAGAGAUUGCUCCUUCCAUUCUUGGCGCUCAGCCCUGUGACUCCCACAUGGAAGGUUCUUGACUAGAUGUUGCAUGGAUGCAUACUAAGUGGGAGGGAGCUCACUUCUGGCUUUCACACAUCAAAUUAAAUUUUCAUGAACUCAUGAAUCAACAAGAGAAACUAAGCAGCAUUUUACUGAACACCUACUAUGUCUGAUGAUUUACAUGGGUUUUCUUAUUUAGUCUUCACAGUAAUCCUGUGAAGUACUCUCUCUUCCGUUUUGCAAGUUAGGAAAUUGUGGAAGCUCACGCCUUGUCAAGAUUAGUCAACAUGUAAGAGGGAGGAGCAGGAUUUGAAUUGGAGUCUGAUCCCUCGGACUGUGCUCUUUGCAUUCCACCAGGCUGCCAACAGGGAGACGCCUGCUAGACCGUGGUUGUUACAAAGCAGAAUCGUGGUCUAGCAGGGGGAAUAAUGCAUCCCAACCAGCGUCAGAAGGAGGCGCCAGCAGAAGGCCCGCUGCUCCCACGGGCUAAGGGGAUGAAUGACGGAGGCCAGGACCUUCCCAGGGCGUGCCUGCAGGCUUCUCCACCUAGACUGUCGUGGCCCAACCUCAGGCCAGCCCAGGCAACAGCGAGGCAAGGCCCGGCCUGGGUCUGCCGCCUCUCAGCCCAUUGGCCCUGUGGAUGCUGCGUUGCAAAACCACACUGUUUUGUUCUGACUUCCUCUUGGGUUCCCAGGAAGUUUAUUUACAGAAGUAAAAUUGCCUCGUAACGUAAAAAAAUAUUUUUUUUGCUGUGGUAAAAUAUACACAACACAAAAUUUACCAUUUUAACCACUUAAUGUAAAAAUGUACAACUGCAUGGUGUUAGUUCACAAUGUGCACAUUCCAGAUGUUGCAUAGCCAUCACCGCCAUUUGUCCCCAGAACUCCCUAACGGAAGCUCUGUACCUAUUAAACACUAAUUCCCCCCCUCCCUCUAGACUCUGCUGAUCUCUUGUCCGUGUUUUGUCUCUAUGAAUUUGCCUACUCUAGGUAUGUGUGUAAGGGAGUCAUACAGCAUUUGUCCUUUUGUGACUGGCUAAUUUCACUUAGUAUAAAGUCUUCAGGGUUCAUCCGCGGUGUAGCAUGUCUCAAAAAGUGUUUCUUUUUUAAGGCUGAAUAAUAUUUCAUUCUGUAUAUAUAUCGCAUUUUGUGUAUCUAUUCCACUGUUGAUGGGCACUUGGGUUGUUUCCAUCUUUUCACUGCAGUCACGCAUCACUUAGUGACCAGGAUACGUUCUGAGAAUGUGUCGUUAGGUGAUUUCCUGGUUGA